GAUGAACGCUAGCUACAGGCUUAACACAUGCAAGUCGAGGGGAAACGACAUCGAAAGCUUGCUUUUGAUGGGCGUCGACCGGCGCACGGGUGAGUAACGCGUAUCCAACCUGCCCACCACUUGGGGAUAACCUUGCGAAAGUAAGACUAAUACCCAAUGACGUCUCUAGAAGACAUCUGAAAGAGAUUAAAGAUUUAUCGGUGAUGGAUGGGGAUGCGUCUGAUUAGCUUGUUGGCGGGGUAACGGCCCACCAAGGCGACGAUCAGUAGGGGUUCUGAGAGGAAGGUCCCCCACAUUGGAACUGAGACACGGUCCAAACUCCUACGGGAGGCAGCAGUGAGGAAUAUUGGUCAAUGGACGGGAGUCUGAACUAGCCAAGUAGCGUGCAGGAUGACGGCCCUAUGGGUUGUAAACUGCUUUUAUAAGGGAAUAAAGUGAGUCUCGUGAGACUUUUUGCAUGUACCUUAUGAAUAAGGACCGGCUAAUUCCGUG
RNAcentral lists this ribosomal RNA (492 nucleotides) under uncultured bacterium. Its description in RNAcentral is "partial 16S ribosomal RNA". It matches the Rfam family "Bacterial small subunit ribosomal RNA", at positions 28 to 507 of the family's 1533-position model. The record is from RNAcentral.